CGCUGGCGGCGUGCUUAACACAUGCAAGUCGAGCGGAGAUAUUCGGAAAGCUUGCUUUUUGGAUAUCUUAGCGGCGGACGGGUGAGUAACGUGUGGGCAACCUGCCUCAUACAGAGGGAUAAUCAUGUGAAAACGUGACUAAUACCGCAUGUCAUUACCGAAGGGCAUCCUUUGGUAAGAAAAGGAGCAAUCCGGUAUGAGAUGGGCCCGCAUCUGAUUAGCUAGUUGGUGAGAUAACAGCCCACCAAGGCGACGAUCAGUAGCCGACCUGAGAGGGUGAUCGGCCACAUUGGGACUGAGACACGGCCCAAACUCCUACGGGAGGCAGCAGUGGGGAAUAUUGCACAAUGGGGGGAACCCUGAUGCAGCAACGCCGCGUGAAGGAAGACGGUUUUUCGGAUUGUAAACUUCUAUCAAUAGGGACGAAGAAAGUGACGGUACCUAAAUAAGAAGCCCCGGCUAACUACGUGCC
Molecule: ribosomal RNA, 472 nt
Filed under: uncultured bacterium
Lineage: Bacteria
Description: bacterial SSU rRNA
Rfam family: Bacterial small subunit ribosomal RNA
Source: RNAcentral